AACGAACGCUGGCGGCAUGCCUAACACAUGCAAGUCGAACGAAACCUUCGGGUCUAGUGGCGCACGGGUGCGUAACGCGUGGGAACCUGCCCUUAGGUUCGGAAUCACUCCCCGAAAGGGGUGCUAAUACCGGAUAAUGUCUUCGGACCAAAGAUUUAUCGCCUUUGGAUGGGCCCGCGUUGGAUUAGCUAGUUGGUAGGGUAAAAGCCUACCAAGGAGACGAUCCUUAGCUGGUAGGAGAGGAGGAUAAGCCACACUGGGACUGAGACACGGACCAGACUCCUACGGGAGGCAGCAGUGGGGAAUACUGGACAAGGGGCGAAAGUCUGAUACAGCAAUGCCGCGGGAGAGAUGAAGGCCUUAGGGUUGUAAAGCUCUUUUACCCGGGAUGAUAAUGACAGUACCGGGAGAAGAAGCACCGGCUAACUCCGUG
RNAcentral lists this ribosomal RNA (433 nucleotides) under uncultured bacterium. Its description in RNAcentral is "partial 16S ribosomal RNA". It matches the Rfam family "Bacterial small subunit ribosomal RNA", at positions 29 to 507 of the family's 1533-position model. The record is from RNAcentral.